This 460-nucleotide ribosomal RNA is filed under the name uncultured bacterium. Its description in RNAcentral is "partial 16S ribosomal RNA". It matches the Rfam family "Bacterial small subunit ribosomal RNA", at positions 338 to 795 of the family's 1533-position model. The record is from RNAcentral.
CCUACGGGGGGCAGCAGUGAGGAAUAUUGGUCAAUGGCCGUAAGGCUGAACCAGCCAAGUCGCGUGAAGGAAGAAGGAUCUAUGGUUUGUAAACUUCUUUUAUAGGGGAAUAAAGGUAUCCACGUGUGGAUUUUUGCAUGUACCCUCUGAAUAAGCAUCGGCUAACUCCGUGACAACAGCCGCGGUAAUACGGGGGAUGCGAGCGUUAUCCGGAUUUAUUGGGUUUAAAGGGUGUGUAGGGUGUUUUUUAAGUCAGCGGUGAAAGUUUGUGGCUCAACCAUAGAAUUGCAGUUGAAACUGGAAGACUUGAGUGUGUUUGAGGUAGGCGGAAUGCGUGGUGUAGCGGUGAAAUGCAUAGAUAUCACGCAGAACUCCGAUUGCGAAGGCAGCUUACUAAGCCAUAACUGACACUGAAGGACGAAAGCGUGGGGAUCAAACAGGAUUAGAUACCCUUGUAGUC